This 310-nucleotide long non-coding RNA is filed under the name Gossypium barbadense (sea-island cotton). RNAcentral's name for it is "long non-coding RNA (GBAR_LNC013381)". The record is from RNAcentral. Lineage: Eukaryota; Viridiplantae; Streptophyta; Magnoliopsida; Malvales; Malvaceae.
UCACACGGCUGUGUGCCACACACGGCCACUUCAUACAGCUAUGUGUCAUUUACAUUUUAGGUGCAUGUUUCAUACGGUCUGAGACACGAUCUACGACAUGACCGCGUGUCUUAAAACAGUUUGUCACACGGUCUAGCACACAACCUGUGACACGGCCGUGUGACUCAACAUCGAAUGCACACACGGUCUGCGACACGACUAUGUGGCGCUGUUUCGAAUACUCACACUGGCUAAGACACAGUCGUGUGACCCCUAUUUCCCAAAUUUUCAUGUUUUUCCAUAAUUUUCUUAUUUCUUUCAAAAUGAUCCC